RNAcentral lists this ribosomal RNA (425 nucleotides) under uncultured bacterium. Its description in RNAcentral is "partial 16S ribosomal RNA". It matches the Rfam family "Bacterial small subunit ribosomal RNA", at positions 354 to 796 of the family's 1533-position model. The record is from RNAcentral.
GUGGGGAAUAUUGCACAAUGGGCGAAAGCCUGAUGCAGCGACGCCGCGUGAGCGAUGAAGUAUUUCGGUACGUAAAGCUCUAUCAGCAGGGAAGAUAAUGACGGUACCUGACUAAGAAGCACCGGCUAAAUACGUGCCAGCAGCCGCGGUAAUACGUAUGGUGCAAGCGUUAUCCGGAUUUACUGGGUGUAAAGGGAGCGUAGGCGGCGUGGUAAGUCAGAAGUGAAAGCCCGGGGCUCAACCCCGGGACUGCUUUUGAAACUAUCAUGCUAGAGGGUCGGAGAGGUAAGUGGAAUUCCUAGUGUAGCGGUGAAAUGCGUAGAUAUAACACAGAACACCAAUUGCGAAGGCAGCUUACUGGGAUGCAACUGACGCUGAGGCACGAAAGCGUGGGGAUCAAACAGGAUUAGAAACCCUAGUAGUCC